CUGGCGGCGUGCCUAUCAUGCAAGUCGAGCGAACUGAUUAGAAGCUUGCUUCUAUGACGUUAGCGGCGGACGGGUGAGUAACACGUGGGCAACCUGCCUGUAAGACUGGGAUAACUUCGGGAAACCGAAGCUAAUACCGGAUAGGAUCUUCUCCUUCAUGGGAGAUGAUUGAAAGAUGGUUUCGGCUAUCACUUACAGAUGGGCCCGCGGUGCAUUAGCUAGUUGGUGAGGUAACGGCUCACCAAGGCAACGAUGCAUAGCCGACCUGAGAGGGUGAUCGGCCACACUGGGACUGAGACACGGCCCAGACUCCUACGGGAGGCAGCAGUAGGGAAUCUUCCGCAAUGGACGAAAGUCUGACGGAGCAACGCCGCGUGAGUGAUGAAGGCUUUCGGGUCGUAAAACUCUGUUGUUAGGGAAGAACAAGUACGAGAGUAACUGCUCGUACCUUGACGGUACCUAACCAGAAAGCCACGGCUAACUACGUGCCAGCAGCCGCGGUAAUACGUAGGUGGCAAGCGUUAUCCGGAAUUAUUGGGCGUAAAGCGCGCGCAGGCGGUUUCUUAAGUCUGAUGUGAAAGCCCACGGCUCAACCGUGGAGGGUCAUUGGAAACUGGGGAAACUUGAGUGCAAAAGAGAAAGCGGAAUUCCACGUGUAGCGGUGAAAUGCGUAAAGAUGUGGAGGAACACCAGUGG
Molecule: ribosomal RNA, 696 nt
Filed under: Bacillus sp. Bac29D1
Lineage: Bacteria; Bacillati; Bacillota; Bacilli; Caryophanales; Bacillaceae
Description: bacterial SSU rRNA
Rfam family: Bacterial small subunit ribosomal RNA
Source: RNAcentral